Molecule: long non-coding RNA, 2578 nt
Organism: Bubalus bubalis (water buffalo)
Lineage: Eukaryota; Metazoa; Chordata; Mammalia; Artiodactyla; Bovidae
Exons: 2
Source: RefSeq, a predicted model, not a curated record
CUCAAUGGACAUGAAUCUGAGCAAACUCUGGGAGACAGUGGAGGACAGAGGAGGCCGGCCUGCGGCAGUCCGUGGGGUUGCAGAGUUGGACGGCUUAGCGACUGAACAACAGCAACAUAUAAAACCAGUCUAUGCUUCGACUGGUUGAUGAAAUGUUGUGACCAGAGGCUCGCAGGAACCCAACCCCAGAUCCUCCUUUGAAUUACAGGUUCUCUGUGAGCCCGAACUGAAGUUUCUUCAGCUUCAGGAUGCCCAAGUGCAGGGUCAAGUUCAAGGGUCUAGUGCUCAGUAAGCACCAUUACUGACUGUGGGGUAGCGUCUUGGGCCGCACGGGUGCCCACAAUCUCUGGGCAAACCUGUCAGAGUUGAGACUCCAAGGCUGUGUGUGGUUUGGUUUCUGGAAUGGACUGGAACAUUCCAUGUCUGCGAGUGGCCCUUCUUCCUGCAGGGAUCUGGCGUCAUUCUCCCCCCUGAGAGGGAAGUGAUUACACAGCAUACCUGUGGCUGAUGCUGGGCUGUUAAGAGCCCCGUAAAACUAAGGUAGAACUAAGGCAUAACUUGCCUGUUAGGCCACGCGCCUGAAUGACUCUUUGCAAACUUUUGCUGCGGGCCGAUUAAAAGAAAUAUCCUUACUGUUUUGAAUCAAAUUCCUGUUAAAAGCAGAGGCUCAAGUUUCUUUCCCUUGGUUUCUCCCUGCCGCUGGCCCCUGGUCGUUUGUUAAACACUCCUCCCCACUCCCCUCCCCCACACAGCCUGCCUGGGGGCCACAUCCUUUUUUACGGGACUUCAGGACUUCAGUGGCUCCUAAGGGCUUACAUUCUCUCUCUUGUUUGCUGUAGGCUGCUGGGGGAGGGGGUCUGGGAGGGAACAGAGGCCCAGAGGACUCACUGGGGCCACGAAACCAGUGAACACAGGCUUGGCUUCUCUGUUGUCCACCCAGCUGGGGAUGCCAGGUCAGCUUGUUUACAAGCGGAGGUUGAUUGACUACAACCUUCUUUCUAGUGGGAGGGAGCCAGGGGGCUUAACAAAAGCUAGGGGGAGACUUGGAGGUGGUGGAGUUGGAGGAGGAGGAGGGAGGUGGGAAAGGCUCAUUCUGGGAGCUGGAGUUUCCACUGGAUCUUGGAGGGAAGGACCUGUGCUUUCCACUUGUGUGUAGGUAUGUGCAUGUACACACGUGAGUGUGUAUUCCCCUAUGUGCAUAGAUGUGCACAUGAGUGUGUGCAUUCAGUGUGUGAUUGUGUGUGUGCCCUGCUUAAGUGAAUGUGGACAUGCCUGUAUCUGAGUGUGUGCACGAGUGCAUCCACACUCUAUGCAUAUGUGUGUGCCUGUGCACUCCAGGGUGUGCAUGUGUGUGUGUAUGUGCAUCGACAUGCAUGUCGAUGUUAUGCGUGUGCUUAUGAGUGCAGAGGUGUGCAGUGGGCACAUGUGUAUCUUCAGUGUGCGUGCAUGUAUGGUGUGCACUCCUGUGUGGGUAUGCAUGUCCAUACAUGCGUGUGUGUGUGUGUGUGUGUGUGUGUGUGUGUGUGUCUGCGUUUUGAGCGUGUUGCUGGGGGUGAGCUGGCUUGGGCAGCAGCUCUUUGGCGCUGUGGGAGAGAAAGGGUGUGGUGGAUCCAGGAGUUCAGCCACAGAAAAGAAAGUUGAUAACCAAAGAAUUUUGUUUGGAUUCUUACGGGCAGGGAGGAAAAGCGCCCCUUACUGUAGACUCUACCUUCCUAAUAUAAAACAGAGACCAAGGGGUCCAGUUUUGUAAAAAGUGGGCUGGCCAAGGCCUAUGCAAGAGACCAUUUUCCCAGUAACUAAAGUCAUAAAGAAACAUAGAAUGAGUUCCAGGCCUUUUUCUCCCAAGACUCCCCUUUCCCUCCAGAGUCUCCGAGCCCUGUGCUGUGGUGUGGCCAGUCAUUUGUUUGCAAAGUCAACUCUGAUGGACAGCUGCUGGCCACUCAGACUAAUGUCAGACCCAGUGAGCCUCAGUGAGUGAUAAGCCUUAUUUGCUAUGUCUGUUUGUUUAGACUCCACUUAAGAAUCCUUUGGGAAGAUAAUUUGUGAGAGAUUGGGGAAAUUUGAAUAUGGACUGGGUAUUAGAUGCUAUUAGGGAAUUAAAAAAAUUUUAUAUAUUUAUUUAUUUGGCUGCAUCGAGUCUUAGUUGAGGCCUGAGAACUCUUAGUUGUGACAUGUGGGAUCUAGUUCCCUGACCAGGGAUGGAACCUAGGAUGAGUUCAUUGGGAAUGCUGAGUCUUAGCCCCUGGACCACUAGCGAAAUCACCGUAUUGGGGAAUUAUUAUUAAUUUAGUUAUAUAUGAUAAAGGAACUUCAGAUAUGUGGGGGUAUCCUCUUAUUCCUCUUGGAGAUACAUGGCACAGUAUUUACUUGAAAUGCCAUGUAAUUUAUCUAUAAUUUACUUUUAAAUGGUUUAGCGAGAUAGAGAGAGGGCAAAAUGUUAACAAUUGUUGACUCUGGGUAAUAGAUGUAUUUCUGUUUCUCUUUGUGCUUGAGAAUGUCAACAGUAAAAGAAAAAAAUUAAUGCUUUGAGAGAACACUACUUAAAAAAUAAAUCUAACGUGUUGCAUGAAAAAAAAAA